RNAcentral lists this ribosomal RNA (1097 nucleotides) under uncultured bacterium. RNAcentral's name for it is "bacterial SSU rRNA". It matches the Rfam family "Bacterial small subunit ribosomal RNA", at positions 322 to 1398 of the family's 1533-position model. The record is from RNAcentral.
AAAUACGGCCCAGAAUUCCUACGGGAGGCAGCAGUCGGGGAAUCAUUGCACAAUGGGCCGCAAGCUCUGAUGCAGCCACCCUCCCUUGGGGGAAGACGGCUCUUCGGGUUUUAAACUUCCUUUUCUUAGGGACGAAACCCCCACCCUGUUUUUGGGUGUUGGUGACCGUACCCUUUUUAAGAAGCACCGGCUAACUACGUUGCCACCGCCGCGGUAAUACUUGGGGGAGGAGCGUUUUCCCGAAUUUAUGGGGAGAAAAAAGCUUCAUAGGUGGUUUGUUGGGUUUUUUUGUAAAAUUCGGGGGCUUAAUUUCGGGGGGGCAGGGGAUACGGGCAAAAUUAGAGUGCUGUAGGGGGGACUGGAAUUCGGGGUGAGGCGGUGGGAAUGCCCAGAUAUCAGGAGGAACACAGAUGGCGAAGGCAGGUCUCUGGGCAGUAACUGACGCUGAGGAGCGAAAGCAUGGGGAGCGAACAGGAUUAGAUACCCUGGUAGUCCAUGCUGUAAACGGUGGGCGUUAGGUGUGGGGACCGGUUUGGUUUCUGUGCUGUAGCUAACGCAUUAAGCGCCCCGCCUGGGGAGUACGGCCGCAAGGCUAAAACUCAAGGGAAUUGACGGGGGCCCGCACAAGCGGCGGAGCAUGUGGAUUAAUUCGAUGCAACGCGAAGAACCUUACCUGGGUUUGACAUGCACCAGACGGUUGUAGAGAUACGUACCUCCCUUUGUGGUUGGCGUGCAGGUGGUGCAUGGUUGUCGUCAGCUCGUGUCGUGAGAUGUUGGGUUAAGUCCCGCAACGAGCGCAACCCUUGUCUUAUGUUGCCAGCACUUUGGGUGGGGACUCAUGAGAGACUGCCGGGGUUAACUCGGAGGAAGGUGGGGAUGACGUCAAAUCAUCAUGCCCUUUAUGCCCAGGGCUUCACACAUGCUACAAUGGUUAGUACAACGCGCAGCAAACCUGUGAGGGUGAGCGAAUCGCUGAAAGCUAAUCUCAGUUCGGAUUGGGGUCUGCAACUCGACCCCAUGAAGUCGGAGUCGCUAGUAAUCGCAGAUCAGCAAUGCUGCGGUGAAUACGUUCCCGGGCCUUGCACACACCGCCCGUC